GCCCGGGUGGUGAAAUUGGUAGACACAAGGGAUUUAAAAUCCCUCGAUCGUAAGAUCGUGCCGGUUCAAGUCCGGCCCGGGCACCA
This 86-nucleotide transfer RNA is filed under the name Salinimonas marina. Its description in RNAcentral is "Salinimonas sp. G2-b tRNA-Leu". It matches the Rfam family "tRNA". Rfam says of the family: Transfer RNA (tRNA) molecules are approximately 80 nucleotides in length. Their secondary structure includes four short double-helical elements and three loops (D, anti-codon, and T loops). Further hydrogen bonds mediate the characteristic L-shaped molecular structure. tRNAs have two regions of fundamental functional importance: the anti-codon, which is responsible for specific mRNA codon recognition, and the 3' end, to which the tRNAs corresponding amino acid is attached (by aminoacyl-tRNA synthetases). tRNAs cope with the degeneracy of the genetic code in two manners: having more than one tRNA (with a specific anti-codon) for a particular amino acid; and 'wobble' base-pairing, i.e. permitting non-standard base-pairing at the 3rd anti-codon position. The record is from RNAcentral. Lineage: Bacteria; Pseudomonadati; Pseudomonadota; Gammaproteobacteria; Alteromonadales; Alteromonadaceae.